This 407-nucleotide ribosomal RNA is filed under the name uncultured bacterium. RNAcentral describes it as "bacterial SSU rRNA". It matches the Rfam family "Bacterial small subunit ribosomal RNA", at positions 355 to 774 of the family's 1533-position model. The record is from RNAcentral.
UGGGGAAUAUUGCACAAUGGGCGCAAGCCUGAUGCAGCAACGCCGCGUGAGGGACGACGGCCUUCGGGUUGUAAACCUCUUUUGGCAGGGAAGAAGCGAAAGUGACGGUACCUGCAGAAAAAGCACCGGCUAACUACGUGCCAGCAGCCGCGGUGAUACGUAGGGUGCAAGCGUUGUCCGGAAUUAUUGGGCGUAAAGAGCUCGUAGGCGGGUUGUCGCGUCUGCUGUGAAAACCCGAGGCUCAACCUCGGGCCUGCAGUGGGUACGGGCAAACUAGAGUGCGGUAGGGGAUAUUGGAAUUCCUGGUGUAGCGGUGGAAUGCGCAGAUAUCAGGAAGAACACCGAUGGCGAAGGCAGAUCUCUGGGCCGUAACUUACGCUGAGGAGCGAAAGCAUGGGGAGCGAACA